UUUUUGUUCAAUAUAAUUUUAUUAUUUUAUUUUAUUUAUUUAUUUUAAUAUGUAUAAUUAUUUUAUUAAAAAAUAAAUCUUUUGAAAGAAACAUAAAAAUUUUAAUUUUCCAUUUAAUAUGUUUUCAUAGUGUAUUAUUUAUUUUUAUUUAUCAAAAUAAAAUAUAUAUUAUAAAGUGAAUGUUAUAUGUAUUUAUAUUUAUAACUAUAUAUAAUAACAUAUAAUUUGUUAUGUUCAUUUUAUUUUGUUAAAGUUAAAUAAUAGAAGUUUUUAUUUUUAUAUGAAUUUUUAUAUUUUUUGGCAAAUUAUUGAAGUUUGCACAAUUUACGACUAGCUAAAAAUAAAAUAAAAAAUAACUAGCCAUUUUGGAUUAUAUUAGCUAUAUAUCAUGAAUAUAAAGUAUUAGGAGGCUACAGCUUUUAUUUAUUUUUUUUUUUUUAUAUCCACUUUAAUGUAAACAUUUUGGGAAGCAAAUUUACCAAAAAACAUUAAGUUAUGUGAUUUAUAAAAUUUAGUACAUAUUUUUGAUAACAAAUAUUCUUCCAGAAGGGAUUUGUAUUAUCUAGGUAUAAUAUACAAGGUUAUAAGAAUUACAAAAAAAAGAAUUAAUUGCUUUAUAUUUGUUGUUGUAUUUUUGAGUUUUAUCUAUAAGUAUUUUUAAUUGAACGCAUGAUUUGGAUGUGUAGAAUUAAUUUAGUUAUAUUAUUAUAAUGUAUGAACUUUUCUUCAUUAAUAUGUCAAGGAUAGAAUGAUGAUACAAAGAUAUAUAACCAUGUGAAUUCAUUUAUUUUUUUAUAAUAUUUAUAAGAAUUUAUCAAGAAAUAUAUGUAUUCUUUAUUAAAAUUAUACUUUAGUUUUUCUAGUUUAUUAUGGAUAGACGAAACAAAAUCUAUCACAUUAUUUUUCAAAACAAAUAAAAACUAUUAAAUGUAUUCUAUAUCUUCUUUUUUCCUUCUUUUUCCUUCAUUUCUUUCCUACUUUUUUUUUUUUUUUUUCUCUUUUUUUUUCAAUAAAAAGGAAAUUAAAGUUUCUCAUAAAAUAAUUAAUUUUAGUAUUUUAUGUUAUAUGAAUAAUAUUUCGUAAAUAUAUAACUGGAAGAUUUUAUAGUCCAAUGAUUAUAUAAAAACUAAUAAAACUAUUUAAAUAUCACUAUUCACGAAGAAUACGGAUAAUGUUGGAAUAUAUUUUAUAAAUCUCCAUAAUUAUGUGAUGUAAUUUAAAAUGAGGAGAGUGUGUUUUUUUUUUUUUUUUUUUUUUAUAAUAAAAAAAGAAAAAAGAGAAGAAAUAAAAAUGUUAUAAUUUUGCAUAACGUUAAUAAAAUAUUAAGGUAUAAUAUUAUAUAUAUAUAUAUAAAUAUGUUUUUUUGAAGAAAAUAUAAUGUUAUAAAAUGGAUGUAUUUUAUGUUAAUAAUAUAAAAGGUUUACUCAAAUUAUUCAGAUAAAAGAAAUAUAUUAAACUUUUUAUAUUCAUAUAUAUUUUUUCUUUUUUUUAAUUGAUAUAUGAAGGUGUAAAUUUUAAAAUAUAACUAGCAUGAGUUUAAUAUGGUAAAUAACAUAUAUAUAUAUAUAUAAAUAUUUUUUAUUUUUUGUUUUUUUUCUCAUACUUCAUAUAUUUUUGUAUAUAUAUACAUAUACAUAUAUAAUUUAUUAUGUCCCU
This 1656-nucleotide small RNA is filed under the name Plasmodium reichenowi. The record is from RNAcentral. Lineage: Eukaryota; Apicomplexa; Aconoidasida; Haemosporida; Plasmodiidae.